CCCUUAGAUGUUCUGGGCGGCCCGCGCACUACAAUGGCGUGUGCAGCGAGUGCCGAAGUAGAGUUUUCCGAGGUAUUCUUGCAAUGCUCGUUUUGAUGGGGAUAGACCCUUGCAACUGUUGGUUUUGAACGAGGAAUUCCUUGUAAGCAUGGUUUAUCAUCCGACGCUGAAUGCGUCCCUGCCCUUUGCACACACCGCCCGUCGCUCCUACCGAUGAGUCGUCCGGUGAAGUUCGUAGACCUCGUGAUCGCGGAUCACUGGGGGAAGCAAAAUGAACCUCGCGGUUUAGAGGAAGGAGAAGUCGUAACA
Molecule: ribosomal RNA, 309 nt
Filed under: uncultured eukaryote
Lineage: Eukaryota
Description: partial 18S ribosomal RNA
Rfam family: Eukaryotic small subunit ribosomal RNA
Source: RNAcentral